Molecule: transfer RNA, 72 nt
Filed under: Cricetulus griseus (Chinese hamster)
Lineage: Eukaryota; Metazoa; Chordata; Mammalia; Rodentia; Cricetidae
Rfam family: tRNA
About the family: Transfer RNA (tRNA) molecules are approximately 80 nucleotides in length. Their secondary structure includes four short double-helical elements and three loops (D, anti-codon, and T loops).
Source: Rfam by way of RNAcentral
GGGGAUGUAGCUCAAUCGGUACAGAGUGCUUGCCUCGCAUGUAUGAAGCACUGGGUUCAAUCCUCAACCCUG